Molecule: transfer RNA, 69 nt
Filed under: Marmota monax (woodchuck)
Lineage: Eukaryota; Metazoa; Chordata; Mammalia; Rodentia; Sciuridae
Description: tRNA.Lys
Source: RNAcentral
GGAAUAUAGCUCAGUUGGUAGAGUGCUUGCCUCUUCUGCACAAAGCCCUAUGUUCAAUCCUCAGUACCA